UAAAAAUCCGCCGGAAUAGCUCA
This 23-nucleotide transfer RNA is filed under the name Campylostelium pitardii. Its description in RNAcentral is "partial tRNA-Phe". The record is from RNAcentral. Lineage: Eukaryota; Viridiplantae; Streptophyta; Bryopsida; Grimmiales; Ptychomitriaceae.